AUGGCUGCGGCCGCCGAGGGGACGAGCAGGCGGAGGAUCCUCGACUACCUCAACGACGGCGAGGAGUUCGGGGUCGCGGGGCCCUCGUCCGCCGCCCCGGCGACGCCCAGGGCGCUGGCUGCGGCCAGGUCGCUGCUGCCCAGGUUCCGCUGGGCGCGGCUCGCCAGGCUCGGCGGCAAGGCCCGCGCCGGCGACGGCAAAGGGCGGCCGCCCACGGCGGUGGUCGAUGACGAGAUCGUCGCCGCGGAAGAGGAGGGCGAGCCGCGGGACGCCUCGGGUGCCUCUGCCUCAGCGGCGGCGGCCGGCGGCGGCGGCGAGACGACGAGGCCGUCGGGCCUGGGCGUCGGGCUGAGCCUGGUGUUCCUGCUGGCCAAGACGUCCGACGAGUUCAACAAGAUGGCCAGGGUGAGGGCCGAGAUGGAGGCGCUGAUCAGGGACUUCAAAGGCCAGCAGGCCAUGGCGACGGCCAACGCCCGCGGCGGCGACGACGACGCGUCGGGGGCCCUCAACCCCGAGUCCGCCGCGUCGAGCUGCCUCACGGACGGGAACGAACCGCAGGCCGCGACCGCCCGGUGCGAGGACCAUCGUCGCCGUCACCAUCGGCAUCAGGUCGCCUCGUCCUCCGGCGCGGAGAUGGAGGCGGCGAGCCGCAGGAGGAUGGACGUGCUGGAGGAGGAGUUCCACGCGGAGCUCGAGCGCGUUCGCGCCCGCUACGGCCAGGACACGCCGCCGUUUUCGACGGGAGAGGGGCGCGACGAGGGCGGAGCAGAGCCGUCGGACGACGACGAGGACGGCAUUGCCGACUGCCGGCAGGGAUUCGAGAGCGACCUCGGCGACGACGACGACGACGACCAUGGCAACAACAACGACGACGAGGAGGAGGAGGACGACGACGACGCUGAUCGGUACCACGGCGUCUCGGCCAUCGAGCUGGAGAGGAGGCUGCACGAGCUGCUCCACCAGAGGAACCAGGAGCGGAUCGAGGAGCUGGAGGCCGCGCUGCGGCGCGCCGAGAAGCGGCUCUUCGACAAGGAGAUGGAGGCGUCCCUCUGGAAGGACACCGCCAAGAUGGCCUUCCGCCACGACCACCACCACGGCCACGACGACGACGACGACUCGCCAUGA
RNAcentral lists this ribosomal RNA (1125 nucleotides) under Triticum aestivum (bread wheat). Its description in RNAcentral is "partial small subunit ribosomal RNA". Lineage: Eukaryota; Viridiplantae; Streptophyta; Magnoliopsida; Poales; Poaceae. The record is from RNAcentral.